This is a long non-coding RNA of Gasterosteus aculeatus aculeatus (three-spined stickleback), 1028 nucleotides long. The record is from Ensembl. Lineage: Eukaryota; Metazoa; Chordata; Actinopteri; Perciformes; Gasterosteidae.
UUUUAUUAUAUGCUUUUGUGUUUCCCAUUGAAGGAUAACUGACUCAUUCAAACUAAAUCCUUUCUGUUUCCGGUGAUAAUGAGCAGUGUCCAUUUACUUAAAUACUCUUUCGUGGUUCUUAACUUAAGAAAUAAACGUUUGAAGGAGAAAAAGAAGCUGAAAGCUAAAAUCAUCGUCAAGGAAAAACAUGAAUAUGAGUCCGCUGUAAGCGAUGAUUGUCCUGUAAUACUAACCCAACUGCUGUGAGUCACUGAAGGUCCAGCGUUAUCACAGGGUAACAAGUACACACACACACACACACACACAUUGAACCAGGGGGGCAGUGGAGAGAGAUAAGAGAGAGAGUCAUGCCUCGCCUGCGUGACCGUGACAUCACGGCUGUAUCCGUGUGCUCACUGUCGCCCCGUGCUGGAAACACACUGGCCUAAUAUAGCCAGUGUGGGCCGUGCCGUGCGCACACACACACACACACACGCACACUGGGGCAAGCCGGUUUGUCCUUGGUUGGUUGACAGCAUGUGUUUCUACGGAGGUGUGUGUUUAAGUGUGUGUUUGUCGGUGUGCGUGUGUGUGCCAUUUUAGUGAAUGAACUGACGUCGCUGUUGCGUCUGUCCUUGUCCAUCAUCAGAGACAGGUGCCUCUAAGGCAGACUGUCCAUGCUGCCUCUGUGUGUGUGUGUUUGUGUUAUUAAGUGAUCAUUAAAAAAUUCAUAAUUAAAAACCUUUUUCAGAAAUUUAAGACAUUUUUUUUCGAAUUAAUCAUAUAAAUACAACAGUGACAAAUAGUUUCAAUUUGUGCAUUUUGUGUCCUUUCCAUGGAAACAGAAUGCAGCAAUGCAAUUUCUGGGACAAUUUGAAGGACGUUUACUCGAUAUCAAUGUUUUAUCCGUCUCUCUGACGGGAUAGAAGUGUAUUCCCUCAGUUGGAGUUACUCUGUAACACCGGACACGUUACGUAACAGCUUACUAGCAGAUGUCUCAAUAUGAACAAAUUAGCGCUGUCAGCGUUAACGCGUCUAAAAUACACGUU